Long non-coding RNA from Sesamum indicum (sesame), 2536 nucleotides. RefSeq lists it as uncharacterized. The record is from RefSeq and is a predicted model, not a curated record. Lineage: Eukaryota; Viridiplantae; Streptophyta; Magnoliopsida; Lamiales; Pedaliaceae.
UUCUACGCGGCUGAAACAAUCAGCCUCCUCACCUUCUUGGUCGUCGCAGCCUCCACAUAGCCGGCGGCUUUCGACGAUCUUGAGUUGUGAUUCGCCGAGAACGACAGUGUCAUGUCAGCAGUCGAGGCCGAUCGCGUUGCUUGGAGAUGUUGUGGAAGAAGUCAAACCGUAGAAUGAUUUUCUCUGCAGGUAUCCUUUUCGCUUGCGGGUGGAAAAAUCAGGGAUGGUGGGGAAUUGGAAUUUUCAUCAUUCUGUAUUCUCAAUUCUGCUUCGUGGUCUGAGAACGAAUUAGGUUUGAAGUUUGGGGAAAUUGGAGUAUAUGCUUUUUCCGGCAGUCUCGAAGUUUGCCUCAACUUAUAUUUCCUACUCAAAGCUCUUGUCACACCUAUCUCGAACCAAAUCCAUAAACCAAGGCCUACAAAUCCAUGCCCAUCUAAUCAAACUUCGAUUGUCCCAUGACCUGAAGCAUAGGAACCAUUUGAUAAAUUUCUAUUCCAAGUGUACAGUUUUUUCUGAUGCCCGCAAGCUGAUUGAAGAAAGUCACAACCAGAUUUGGUUUCUUGGUCCUCUUGAUAUCUGGGUAUGCUCAGAAUGGACUUGGGGAAGAGGCCCUUUUGGCUUUUCAGGAGAUGCAUGUAUUGGGUGUUAAGUGUAUGACUUUACCUUCCCCAGCGUGCUCAAGGCCUGCUCGAGUAGAAAGAAUUUUAUGCUAGGGACACAAGUUCAUGGGAUUAUAGUGGUAACUGGAUUUCAGUCUGAUGUUUUUGUUGCAAAUACUUUGGUGGUUAUGUACGCAAAAUGUGGUCAUUUUCCAGACUCGAGGAGGUGGUUUGAGGAUAUCCCAGAAAGGGAUGUGAGCUUUCUUCAAAAGUUUAGGGGUUGUGGUACCAUUUUUUUGUUUUGUUUUGGUUAAAAAGGUUUUGAUGUCUAUUAAUGUUUUCAUUGUGGGGUAAAAUGCAAUUAGCCCCUGCUAAUUAGAGAGUAAUGUAGAAAGUGAAGGAGCUGCAUAGGCUAUAUUUUCUUGCAGAUUUUGUAGAUAAUCACCAUAUGAGAAAGUGUGAUUGAGUUUGCUAAACACUGGAUCUAAGGCAACUAUAAUUCUUCAAAUCGAAGAGCAACAUAAAAUUUGGUAUGAACUGAGUGAAGACAUUUGAUUUCAAUUUUAACUUUUAUGUAAAUUCAGUAUUCAGUUCAAUUUUGCUUUUUAGUUGUACUCAGUUUUAUUUGGUUCUAUACAGUAUUUUGUAUUGAGUUGGUUGCAAAAUUCUAGAUUCACUUAAUGUAUGCAUGUGAACAUCAUUUAAGUCAUCUUUAAAACUUGUGCUAGAAGGGAAAAAUAUGUGAGAGAUGACUCAUAUGGAGACAUCUCCAGGGUGAUUGUAGACAUGGUCUGCUAGAUAUCAAAUUCAAGCUCAUACUCCUGCCUGAGUUCAUAAAAGGAUCUAUGAAUUUUCAAAGCAAAUGCCUAAAAUAUUUCAUUUUCAAUAGCUUCCCCACAAAUGCCUAAAGAACAUCCUCGCAGUAUUUGACAUUGAUUGGGAGCCUCACACUUCAAGCUACCACUUAAAUGGUGAACUAUUCUUUCUUACAUUUUUGCUUCACUUCUCAACCAUUUAGUUCGGAUGAUAACCUUUCAAUCCCUAAGACGACAAACAAAGGGGGAUAUGAUCCUUCUAGCCACGGUUAUCUGUGCAGAAGCUUUUGAGAUCCUCCUAAUUAAGUUGGUUGUAUCCUAUUAGACUGUGGCACUAGGGAUAUCCUUCUACUUAAACUGUCAUCAAAGAGUAAUCACUUCUUCCCUCCUCCACCUGAAGUGUGAAUUGAAAGUGAAAAUGACAAAAUGUGGUCCGUGCUGUUAUAAUGUCCGUCCUCUCUUCCAGGUGCCUUCUUCAAGUGCUUGCCAAUGUCCUGUUUGUUCAAAAGGAAAAAUACUAGGGAAAAGAUUGAACUUGCUGAAAAAAUAUAUUAUGUUCCUUGGUUUGAAUUGCAAAUAAAUCCAAACCCAUCUUUCGUGAUAGAUAAAUGCUGAGAUUUCAGUUUGAGGAUUUCGCUAACCAUAAUGUGUUUGAGCUGCCGGCCAGAUAUGGCACUACCCAUUUGGUCUUUAACUAUGAUAUACAGGGGACAGCAUCUAUCGUGCUUGCUGGGCUUGUUGAUUCGCUUACGCUGCUUGGCGGUACCUUGGCUGACCACAGAUUCUUGUUCUUUGGUGCUGGAGAAUGGAAGCUUUGACUGGUCAAUUAACACACGAACACUGUCAUAAGGGAAUGAUUUAUCCUCCUUUGUUCAAUAUAAGAAAGAUCUCUGCUCAUAUUGCUGCAAAUGUAGCUGGUAAAGCAUAUGAACUCGGUCUGACAACACGGCUGCCUCAACCUGCUGACUUGGUUAAGUAUGCUGAAAGCUGCACGUACACUCCAAGUUACAGAAGUUACCGAUUAAGCUCCUGCUCAUGAUGUGCCUUGUUUUGAGCAUGUUUGCUAACAUUAUGUAUAAUGUGUCUAUAUAUGUGUGCCAUAAGCUUCAUCAUGUUGUAAAA